This is a long non-coding RNA of Prionailurus viverrinus (fishing cat), 339 nucleotides long. RefSeq lists it as uncharacterized. The transcript has 3 exons. NCBI's taxonomy places the organism in Eukaryota, Metazoa, Chordata, Mammalia, Carnivora, Felidae. The record is from RefSeq and is a predicted model, not a curated record.
UGGAGAACACAGACUAAGAAAUGACUCCCAGAAAAUAUCACUGGAGCAAAUCAAGGAACAGUCCCUACCAUUAGUGUAGAGGAACUUGCAACUUCUGUUCAGUGGAAUAUCAGAACUUUUAUUCACCAGUGACUGGUCACUGAAUCAAGAAGAGCAGCCAGCAGACAUGAUAUAUAUUCACCAGAUUCUGGACAUCUGCGCCCAAUGCCUGAAACAUGAGAAGCAGAGCUGAAUGCUCAAUCACAGUUAUCCCAUCCAUCCAUCAGACAAGAUGGAGGUGAAGGCCUGUGCAUGGCACACAGUGCUGCCAGUCUCUGUUGGGCAUGAAGAAGUCUGAAA